CCCAGGCCUUGCACCUGGAUCAAUGGGCUGCCCUAAUGAAGGAUAUCAAAAAUGAAGGGGCAGCUAAAGAAAAAUAAAAGACACCUCAGAAAGUAGCCUGCCUCUUUGACAAGGGACAUGCCUUCAGAGGAACAUAACAGAAACCUCUGAGAAUUGUCAACAAUAAAAAGACUGAGCAACAAGGGAAACUGGUAGGAAGCCAAAGGUUUUAAGAGGUGAGAGUGGAGAAAUGCUGUGCUUUUAUUGAUCCUCUCCAAAGGAACACCUUUAAAAAAGGCAAAAAUCAAGUUACCAGGAAAAUAUUUUUUAAAAACCACGAACAGUCUAAGAGCACUGAACAUUUUGAAUCAUUUGCCUUUUCUCAACACUGGAUUUUAAGCAAGGAACAAGACUAUUCCAGUUCUAAAUGCUUUAAUGAACAAGGGGUAUUGGGUUUUAGCAUCAACAUGAUCUAUCCUCACUCUGAAGCUUUAACUUGAGUAGCUGCUGUGCUUUGUAAAGCUUCAAUCCAAUUCAUUUGAUAACUACAAUUACCAAAUCUGGGCAUUGCUGACUACACAGUUCAAAAAAACAGCAUGGAGGGAAGACCUGCUGAGAACCUUAGAAUCUAUCGAUAAGCUCUUGAAAUGGUUUAAAGUAAUAAACCACUUCAAUUGAAAGGGCAAUAAAAUGUUUUUCG
RNAcentral lists this long non-coding RNA (679 nucleotides) under Homo sapiens (human). RNAcentral describes it as "non-protein coding LINC02053:11". The record is from RNAcentral. Lineage: Eukaryota; Metazoa; Chordata; Mammalia; Primates; Hominidae.